Molecule: ribosomal RNA, 468 nt
Filed under: uncultured bacterium
Lineage: Bacteria
Description: partial 16S ribosomal RNA
Rfam family: Bacterial small subunit ribosomal RNA
Source: RNAcentral
GAUGAACGCUGGCGGCGUGCUUAACACAUGCAAGUCGAACGGAAAGGCCCAAGCUUGCUUGGGUACUCGAGUGGCGAACGGGUGAGUAACACGUGGGUGAUCUGCCCUGCACUUCGGGAUAAGCCUGGGAAACUGGGUCUAAUACCGGAUAGGACGAUGGUUUGGAUGCCAUUGUGGAAAGUUUUUUCGGUGUGGGAUGAGCUCGCGGCCUAUCAGCUUGUUGGUGGGGUAAUGGCCUACCAAGGCGUCGACGGGUAGCCGGCCUGCGAGGGUGUACGGCCACAUUGGGACUGAGAUACGGCCCAGAGUCCUACGGGAGGCAGCAGUGGGGAAUAUUGGACAAUGGGCGCAAGCCUGAUGCAGCGAGGCCGCGUGGGGGAUGACGGCCUUCGGGUUGUAAGCUCCUAUCGCUAGGGACGAAGCGUUUUUGUGACGGUACCUGGAGAAGAAGCACCGGCUAACUACGUG